AUGCUACGGCCUAAAGGAAGAGGUGGUAUGGGCUUCAAGGAUCUUCGGUUGUUUAAUCAAUCUCUGUUAGCACGUCAAGCAUGGCGUCUCAUAGAAUUUCCGGAUAGCCUUUGUGCUCAGGUUCUCCGUGCGAAGUACUACCCGUCUGGCAAUAUUACAGAUACAGUUUUUACAGGUAAUGGGUCAAGCACUUGGUUGGCUAUUGAACAUGGCUUG
This 216-nucleotide ribosomal RNA is filed under the name Triticum aestivum (bread wheat). RNAcentral describes it as "partial small subunit ribosomal RNA". Lineage: Eukaryota; Viridiplantae; Streptophyta; Magnoliopsida; Poales; Poaceae. The record is from RNAcentral.